GACGAACGCUGGCGGCGUGCUUAACACAUGCGAGUCGAACGGUAAGGCCCUUCGGGGUACACGAGUGGCGAACGGGUGAGUAACACGUGGGUGAUCCGCCCUGCACUUCGGGAUAAGCCUGGGAAACUGGGUCUAAUACCGGAUAGGACUCCUGGCUUCAUGGUUGGGGGUGGAAAGCUUUUGCGGUGUGGGAUGGGCCCGCGGCCUAUCAGCUUGUUGGUGGGGUAAUGGCCUACCAAGGCGACGACGGGUAGCCGGCCUGAGAGGGUGACCGGUCACGCUGGGACUGAGAUACGGCCCAGACUCCUACGGGAGGCAGCAGUGGGGAAUAUUGCACAAUGGGCGCAAGCCUGAUGCAGCGACGCCGCGUGAGGGAUGACGGCCUUCGGGUUGUAAACCUCUUUCAGCUAUGACGAAGCGCAAGUGACGGUAGUAGCAGAAGAAGGACCGGCCAACUACGUGCCAGCCGCCGCAGUAA
This 478-nucleotide ribosomal RNA is filed under the name uncultured bacterium. RNAcentral's name for it is "partial 16S ribosomal RNA". It matches the Rfam family "Bacterial small subunit ribosomal RNA", at positions 28 to 523 of the family's 1533-position model. The record is from RNAcentral.